CGGCAGCGGGGGUAGCUUGCUACCUGCCGGCGAGUGGCGAACGGGUGAGUAAUACAUCGGAACGUGCCCUGUAGUGGGGGAUAACUAGUCGAAAGACUAGCUAAUACCGCAUACGACCUGAGGGUGAAAGUGGGGGACCGCAAGGCCUCAUGCUAUAGGAGCGGCCGAUGUCUGAUUAGCUAGUUGGUGGGGUAAAGGCCCACCAAGGCGACGAUCAGUAGCUGGUCUGAGAGGACGAUCAGCCACACUGGGACUGAGACACGGCCCAGACUCCUACGGGAGGCAGCAGUGGGGAAUUUUGGACAAUGGGGGCAACCCUGAUCCAGCAAUGCCGCGUGUGUGAAGAAGGCCUUCGGUUGUAAAGCACUUUUGUCCGGAAAGAAAUCGCUUCGGUUAAUACCUGGGUGGAUGACGGUACCGGAAGAAUAAGGACCGGCUAACUACGUGCCAGCAGCCGCGGUAAUACGUAGGGUCCAAGCGUUAAUCGGAAUUACUGGGCGUAAACGUGCGCAGGCGGUUGUGCAAGACCGAUGUGAAAUCCCCGGGCUUAACCUGGGAAUUGCAUUGGUGACUGCACAGCUAGAGUGUGUCAGAGGGAGGUAGAAUUCCACGUGUAGCAGUGAAAUGCGUAGAGAUGUGGAGGAAUACCGAUGGCGAAGGCAGCCUCCUGGGAUAACACUGACGCUCAUGCACGAAAGCGUGGGAGCAAACAGGAUUAGAUACCCUGGUAGUCCACGCCCUAAACGAUGUCAACUAGUUGUUGGGGAUUCAUUUCCUUAGUAACGUAGCUAACGCGUGAAGUUGACCGCCUGGGGAGUACGGUCGCAAGAUUAAAACUCAAAGGAAUUGACGGGGACCCGCACAAGCGGUGGAUGAUGUGGAUUAAUUCGAUGCAACGCGAAAAACCUUACCUACCCUUGACAUGCCACUAACGAAGCAGAGAGCAUUAGGUGCUCGAAAGAGAAAGUGGACACAGGUGCUGCAUGGCUGUCGUCAGCUCGUGUCGUGAGAUGUUGGGUUAAGUCCCGCAACGAGCGCAACCCUUGUCUCUAGUUGCUACGAAAGGGCACUCUAGAGAGACUGCCGGUGACAAACCGGAGGAAGGUGGGGAUGACGUCAAGUCCUCAUGGCCCUUAUGGGUAGGGCUUCACACUCAUACAAUGGUGCAUACAGAGGGUUGCCAAGCCGCGAGGUGGAGCUAAUCCCAGAAAAUGCAUCGUAGUCCGGAUCGUAGUCUGCAACUCGACUACGUGAGCUGGAAUCGCUAGUAAUCGCGGAUCAGCAUGCCGCGGUGAAUACGUCCCGGGUCUUGUACACACCGCCCGUCACACCAUGGGAGUGGGUUUUGCCAGAAGUAGUUAGCCUAACCGCAAGGGGGGCGAUACACGCAGUACCCU
This 1397-nucleotide ribosomal RNA is filed under the name Ralstonia solanacearum. Its description in RNAcentral is "bacterial SSU rRNA". It matches the Rfam family "Bacterial small subunit ribosomal RNA". The record is from RNAcentral. Lineage: Bacteria; Pseudomonadati; Pseudomonadota; Betaproteobacteria; Burkholderiales; Burkholderiaceae.